AAAUCAACUGUCACAAGUAUGUUAUUCAUGUGACCUUUAUUUUUAACUUCACUCUUUUCAGAUUAUAUUUGGCUGUCCUACAUUGGAACGAAAAUUGUGAUAGAGCCCAGGCUGUUGAUGCCGAAGGGAACCCAGUGUACAGGUUGAGGUAUCCACGCUCGAAGGAAGGAGGCCACACAGUGGAGAGAGUGCUGACAGCUGGCACAUGUGGUUAUGUGAAAGCCCUGAUGAGAGUUUGUCGUAGAACUGGUGGAAAACAGGGAGCAGCUCAGAGACAACAUGGAGGAGCUACAGCCUCAACCAGCACGGAGUGCCUCUCAUCAUCACCCCGACAAUGGAGAAGCCGUGCAAGCUUUUGAACAACAUCAUCGCUUUGGCGAUAGAAACUAGUUCUUUUGGUGAUA
Strongylocentrotus purpuratus (purple sea urchin) is the source of this 404-nucleotide long non-coding RNA. RefSeq lists it as uncharacterized. The transcript is spliced from 2 exons. The record is from RefSeq and is a predicted model, not a curated record. NCBI's taxonomy places the organism in Eukaryota, Metazoa, Echinodermata, Echinoidea, Camarodonta, Strongylocentrotidae.